GGGGCUGUCCUGGUUUCGACGUGGGUUCGGGACCGGUGCGGUGCAUGUCGAGCUUGAGUGACGCUCGUAAAUC
Molecule: non-coding RNA, 73 nt
Filed under: ant fungus garden metagenome
Source: RNAcentral